UCUCCAGCUAUUCGGCCCACCGUCCUGAAUGUUGCACUUUACCACUUUCUGCAGAAAAAAAUAACAGAAGAGAAUAUAGGAAAUUCACAGAAACUUUAUAUGAAAUAGUUCAAUUGUCGUUAAAAAAUUUGAAAAUUUCCCGUGUUCCAACAAAGCCCCGACUCAGGAAUAAAAGAGCGAUCCAUCAUGAAAUUCUUGUUGAGGCACACUACCUUGUACUAGACAGCAAUUUUACUUUACCCAACUGACGAGGAUGAGAGUAUCACCAGCCAGCACAAACUGGUCACAUGAGUCAUGACUUCUGGUCUUGACCCAUAAGACUCGAUGCUUUCUCAUCAAGGGAGAUGGCUGCUGUUGUGAUCAUAACGUUCAAUCUCCUUUCUGGUCGGUUGACGCAGCAGGGCGUCGGAGACGUAUACUACUCAGUAAUGAUCGAGGCCCAGAUACAUCAUUGGCAAGCGUGAACUCCAGAUCAAAAUAUACAUCUCUAUCGCCAGAUGCUCACCAAUACAGUAUAUUUUGAUGCCAGGGCACAGGUAUGCGUGCUCUAGAUUAAACAGAUCGAGGCCACGAACAAAUGCCAAUGCAAACUAAAACAAGGCAAUCAAACAGUACUAAAUUGUUUGUACUCCUUAUCACCAACCUUGGAUCCAUCAAAUAAACUUGCGAUUUGAUUA
This is a non-coding RNA of Oryza sativa Japonica Group (Japanese rice), 677 nucleotides long. The record is from RefSeq and is a predicted model, not a curated record. Lineage: Eukaryota; Viridiplantae; Streptophyta; Magnoliopsida; Poales; Poaceae.